RNAcentral lists this ribosomal RNA (309 nucleotides) under uncultured bacterium. RNAcentral describes it as "partial 16S ribosomal RNA". It matches the Rfam family "Bacterial small subunit ribosomal RNA", at positions 504 to 807 of the family's 1533-position model. The record is from RNAcentral.
AGAGACAGCAGCCGCCACGGUAAUACAGAGGGUGCAAGCGUUAAUCGGAAUUACUGGGCGUAAAGCGCACGCAGGCGGUCUGUCAAGUCGGAUGUGAAAUCCCCGGGCUCAACCUGGGAACUGCAUUCGAAACUGGCAGGCUAGAGUCUUGUAGAGGGGGGUAGAAUUCCAGGUGUAGCGGUGAAAUGCGUAGAGAUCUGGAGGAAUACCGGUGGCGAAGGCGGCCCCCUGGACAAAGACUGACGCUCAGGUGCGAAAGCGUGGGGAGCAAACAGGAUUAGAUACCCCAGUAGUCCCUGUCUCUUAUAC